This 225-nucleotide ribosomal RNA is filed under the name uncultured bacterium. RNAcentral describes it as "partial 16S ribosomal RNA". It matches the Rfam family "Bacterial small subunit ribosomal RNA", at positions 129 to 353 of the family's 1533-position model. The record is from RNAcentral.
CCGAUGACUCGGGGAUAGCCUUUCAAAAGAAAGAUUAAUACCCGAUGGCAUAGUUCUUCCGCAUGGUAGAACUAUUAAAGAAUUUCGGUCAUCGAUGGGGAUGCGUUCCAUUAGGUUGUUGGCGGGGUAACGGCCCACCAAGCCUUCGAUGGAUAGGGGUUCUGAGAGGAAGGUCCCCCACAUUGGAACUGAGACACGGUCCAAACUCCUACGGGAGGCAGCAUG